Molecule: ribosomal RNA, 433 nt
Filed under: uncultured bacterium
Lineage: Bacteria
Description: partial 16S ribosomal RNA
Rfam family: Bacterial small subunit ribosomal RNA
Source: RNAcentral
AACGAACGCUGGCGGCAUGCCUAACACAUGCAAGUCGAACGAGACCUUCGGGUCUAGUGGCGCACGGGUGCGUAACGCGUGGGAACCUGCCCUUAGGUUCGGAAUAACUCCCCGAAAGGGGUGCUAAUACCGGAUAAUGUCUUCGGCCCAAAGAUUUAUCGCCUUUGGAUGGGCCCGCGUUGGAUUAGCUAGUUGGUAGGGUAAAAGCCUACCAAGGCGACGAUCCAUAGCUGGUCUGAGAGGAUGAUCAGCCACACUGGGACUGAGACACGGCCCAGACUCCUACGGGAGGCAGCAGUGGGGAAUAUUGGACAAUGGGCGAAAGCAUGAUCCAGCAAUGCCGCGUGAGUGAUGAAGGCCUUAGGGUUGUAAAGCUCUUUUACCCGGGAUGAUAAUGACAGUACCGGGAGAAUAAGCUCCGGCUAACUCCGUG